AUGAGAGCCACCCCGAAGUUUGGACCUUAUCAAAAUGCGCUCAGGGAAAUCCGAUAUUCCCUCCUGCCUUUUGCCAACAAGUCAGGCACUUCAGCAGCUGCAGGGGUGAUCCAGCAGAUGCUUCAGGAGUUGGUGAAUGUGGAAUGUGACCAGGAGAUGGCUGGCAGAGCGCUCAAGCAGACGGGCAGUAGGAGUAUUGAGGCCUCCUAGGAAUACAUCAGUAAGAUGGACCCCAGGAAUGAGCAGAUUGUAAGAGUCAUCAAGCAGACCUCCCCAGGAAAGGGCCUGGUGCCCGCCCAGGUGACUCGGCGGCCCAGUUUUGAGGGCACAGGGGAAGCACUCCCAUCUUACCACCAGCUGGGUGGUGCAAACCAGGAGGGCUCCGCCGCACUGGAGGAGAUGCCACGGCAAUAUUUAAGACUUCCUCUUCCCCGGAGCCGGCACCCACGGUGCCCCUGCUCACCAACAUCCUCCCAAAGGCUACAGCACCGCAGUGGAGCCGGGUGCGCACUUCCCGGGCACACACUGUGGUCGCGGUCAUCUAUGAUCGGAGCAGCCUGGGUAUGGGGUGCAGCACAGCCCCUCCUUCCAGAGCAAGACACCAACAGAUGCCUAUUCCGGCCUGGCCAAGGCCCAGGGUGGCCCUCCCGCCAGCCUCACCUUUCCUGCCCAUGCUGGGCUGCAAGCCACCUCACACCACAAGCUGGCGGCUACCCCACCUGGGGCCCACCCAUUACACGUGUUGGGCACCCGGGGUCACACGUUUACUGGCGAAAGCUCUGCACAGGCUGUGCUGGCACCGUCUAGGAACAGCCUCAAUGCUGACUUGUACGAGCUGGGCUCCACUGUGCCCUGGUCUGCAGCUCCACUGGCACACCGUGACUCGCUGCAGAAGCAGGGUCUAGAGUCCUCGCGGUCGCAUGUGGCUUUCCGGGCUGGCCCCAGCAGGACCAACUCCUUGAACAACCCACAACCCGAACCUUCACUGCCCGCCCCCAACACCGUCACCGCUGUGACGGCUGCACACAUCCUUCACCCCGUGAAGAGGUGAAGAGCGUGCAUGUGCUGCGGCCCGAGCCCCAGACAGCUGUGGGGCUCUCGCACCCCGCCUGGGUGGCUGCGCCCACAGCACCUGCCACCGAGAGCCUGGAGACAGAAGGAGGGCAGCGCAGGCCCACACCCGCUGGAUGUGGACUAUGGCGGCUCCGAGCGCGGGUGCCCACCGCCUCCGUACCCAAAGCACUUGCUGCUGCCCAGUAAGUCUGAGCAGUACAGCGUGGACCUGGACAGCCUGUGCACCAGAGUGGAGCAGAGUCUGCGAGGGGGCACCGAGCAAGACAAGAAUAACAAGAGCCACAAAGGUGCGAAGGGAGACAAAGCUGGCAGAGACAAAAAGCAGAUCCAGACCUCCCCGGUGCCUGUCCGCAAGAAUAGCCGGGAUGAAGAAAAGAGAGAGUCUCGCAUCAAGAGUUACUCCCCUUAUGCCUUCAAAUUCUUCAUGGAACAACACGUGGAGAAUGUCAUCAAAACCUACCAGCAGAAGGUCAGCCGGAGGCUACAGCUGGAGCAGGAAAUGGCCAANGCCGGGCUCUGUGAGGCUGAGCAGGAGCAGGUGAGGAAGCUCCUCUACCAGAAGGAGUCUAACUACAACCGCCUAAAGAGGGCCAAGAUGGACAAAUCCAUGUUUGUGAAAAUCAAGACUCUGGGCAUUGGUGCCUUUGGGGAAGUGUGCCUCGCCUGUAAGGUGGACACUCAUGCUCUGUACGCCAUGAAGACUCUCAGGAAGAAAGAUGUCCUGAACGGGAAUCAAGUGGCCCAUGUCAAGGCUGAGAGGGACAUCCUGGCUGAAGCAGACAAUGUGUGCGUGGUCAAACUCUACUACUCCUUCCAGGACAAGGACAGCCUGUACUUUGUGAUGGACUACAUACCUGGCGGGGAUAUGAUGAGCCUGCUGAUCCGGAUGGAGGUCUUCCCUGAACACCUGGCCCACUUCUACAUUGCAGAGUUUAUUCUGGCCAUUGAGAGUGUCCACAAGAUGGGCUUUAUCCACUGAGAUAUCAAGCCUGACAACGUCCGCAUUGACCUGGAUGGUCAUAUUAAGCUGACAGACUUUGGCCUCUGCACUGGAUUCAGGUGGACGCACAAUCCCAAGUGCUACCAGAAAGGGAACCACAUCAGACAGGACAGCAUGGAGCCUGGUGACCUCUGGGACGAUGUUUCCAACUGUCGUUGUGGGGACAGGUUAAAGACCCUGGAGCAGAGAGUGCAGAAGCAGCACCAGAGGUGCCUGGCACAUACUCUGGCUGGGACACCAAAUUACAUCGCUCCGGAGGUGCUCCUCCGCAAAGGUGAUCAACUGGGAGAAUAUGCUGCACAUCCCCACGCAGGUGAGGCUCAGUGCCAAGGCCCAAGACCUCAAGCUGUGCUGUGCAGCUGACUGCCACCUGGGCAGGGAUGGGGCAGAUGACCUCAAGGCACACCCGUUCUUCAACGCCAUUGACUUUUCCCGUGACAUCUGAAAGCAGCCCGCGCCCUACGUCCCCACCAUGGACACCUCCAAUUUUGACCAGGUGGAUGAAGAAAGCCCCUGGCAGGAGGCCAGCGGAGAGAGUGCCAAGGCC
RNA transcript from Mus pahari (shrew mouse), 2621 nucleotides. It is a transcript of the gene named serine/threonine-protein kinase LATS2-like, with no coding region annotated. The transcript has 2 exons. NCBI's taxonomy places the organism in Eukaryota, Metazoa, Chordata, Mammalia, Rodentia, Muridae. The record is from RefSeq and is a predicted model, not a curated record.